GUUCAAAACUUCAAAUAGGAAUGAAGACGUAAUAAAGUUGUAAAAUUACGAAGUUAAACCAACUCAACGCCACUGAAAACUCGGAGAAUUUUGGCGGGUAAAUGGAGCUCCUGAAGCUCUCCAAAUUCAAGCUCCAACUCCACGCCCUAAUUUGUGAAGUUCGUGAACUCAAAGAAAAGGAACGCAAUGCCUCUCAACAAGUCCAACUCGCACUACAGAAGCAAAAGCAAUCGGAGGAGGAAUUCAAUCAAAAAUUGACGGAAUUUCGUGCUGAGUUAGGUUUCUCUAAUGAACUUAGGCAUAAGCUGGAAAGAAAGGUAACUUGCUUAGAGAAUGAGAAUAAUUUGCUGGAGAACAAGAAGAAGGAAUUGGAAGGAACUUUACAAAGCUUGCUUGAAUCAAGGGAAGAUUUUCUGAAGGCUUAUGAGGACUCUACAUAUGAAAUGAAGCGAGCUAUUGAAGACAGAGAUAGAAAAAUUGGUAUUCUAUCUGAAACGUUAAGAGUUCAUUUGUUAUUAUUCGAUUCAAUAUCAAAGGAGGCUUCCUCCAUCAAUAAACUUAUGGAUGAUGCUAGACACGCUCUCAGUCAAAAGGAGGAUGUAGGCAUGUAGCUUUCUUUUCUUAAGGUUUCAUUCAUUCAAUCUCAGCAAUCUAUCUAUUCAUAAACUUGCUCACAGACACCGAUUUCUUUUUUUCUUUUUUUACUUUCCUCAAUUUCUCUUGUCAUGUCCAGUGGCUGGGCUAAAGAGGAAAAUGGAUGAGGUUUCUACUUUUGAGAAACUUUUUGUCGAAAAGACCAACAACCUGGAAAGAAAACUUAUGAAUAAUGAAGUGGAACUCACAACCAAAGCUAAAAGAAUACGAGAGCUGGAGGCAGAACUUGAGGCAGCAAUUCUUAGCAAGGAGUUCCAACCAAAGAUCAUACAGAUAUCCAUUAACUGAUGGAAGCAGUUCGUGCUCCCUUAUGCUUUAUUAGGUCUCGGCAAUGUUCUUUCACAUUCCCUUAUUUAUGGCAUGCCUCCUUAACUAGUCAUACCUUCAGAGAGAGAUAUCCACAAAAGAACUACUUCUACAGAACUUAAUCUCAGAGAACAAGGGACUGCAUUCUGAAAUAGGAAGCUUAGGCAUUGUCAUAAAAAAGAUUCAAGAUGCCGUCACUCGUAUGAGUGAAGAGGACAGAAGGACAUUCACCUCACUGAUGGAAGGCCAGGAAGAAUGCCUUUCAAUUAGACAAAGUGAAAAAUUAAGGACGCCAGAUACUGCUCAAAUCAAAGGGAAAGACUCUCAUCCAAAGUCUUCUAUGAGUGAAGAAAGCACAGCCUCGCCAGAAGUUCAGGAGGAUUCAAUAAAGAGCCCCUUGAAGAAGGAUAACAAGAUUAACUGCUAUAUAUCAGAGGCGAGUAGAUCCAUCCUCAGAUAAAUCUUCUCCCACCAUAUCUGUAAAAAGUUUUUGAACUUGCAGAUACUUCUUCACCUUUGCAAUUGCAGUCUGUUUAUUCUCCCUCACUGUCAGCUUGCUCAGUGCCUCAAUGUGAAGCUAACAAUGCAAGUGUCUCUGCUGCUGCAGCAAAGGAUGAUUACACAGAAUUAGCGAACCAGCUGGAUUCUGAAUGCUCAACGACUCAAAUGGAGAUCCUGUAAAUUUUUAGAUCUGAAAGAAGACCUAGCAAUGGCCAGAACGAGUGCUUUGACCGGAACCCAAUUUAUUGUGCCUCGACUUUGAGACCUUUCUCAAAAGAAAUAUAAUUGUGUGAUUUUGCGAAUUUCUCCAUCCCAGGUAAAUGGUACUCGUAUCUCUGGUGAUUGCCAAGGCUGGCUUGAGUUCCAUGAGUGAUUAUUACUAGUAAUUCAUUUUUCAAUUCACGUUCAAAAGAUACUAGGUUGUCUA
Molecule: non-coding RNA, 1888 nt
Organism: Nicotiana tabacum (common tobacco)
Lineage: Eukaryota; Viridiplantae; Streptophyta; Magnoliopsida; Solanales; Solanaceae
Source: RefSeq, a predicted model, not a curated record